GAUGGGAUUGGAAUGGAGAUGGGAAUGGGAUUGGGAUGGGAUGGGGAUGGGAUUGGAAUGGGGAUGGGAAUGGGAUUGGGAUUGGGAUGGGAUUGGAAUGGGGAUGGGAAUGGGAUUGAUAGAGGAUCAGGAUGGGAAUGGGAUUGGGAUUGGAAUUAGGAUUGGAAUGGGAUGGGAUGGGAUGGGAAUGGAAUGGAGAUGGGAAUGGGAUUGAUAGAGGAUGGGGAUGGGAAUGGGAUUGGGAUGGGAUGGAAUGGGAAUGGGAAUGGGAAUGGGAAUGGGAAUGGGAUUGGGAUUGGGAUUGGGAUGGGAUGGGGAUGGGGAUGGGAAUGGAAUGGGGAUGGGAAUGGGAUUGGGAUUAGGAUGGGAUGGGGAUGGGAUUGGAAUGGGGAUGGGAAUGAUAGGGGAGGGGGGUGGGAAUGGGAUUGGGAUUGGGAUUGGGAUUGAGAUUGGGGCUGGGACUGGGAUUGGGAUUGGGAUUGGGAUGGGAUGGGAUGGGAUGGGAAAGGAAUGAGAUGGGAUGGGGUUUAGGAAUGGGGCUGGGGUUGGGGAUGGGUUUGGGAUGAAGACCCCGCAGUCUGGGACACCCCAUACCCCGCAGACGUGGACGAGUGCCAGGAGCACGGGCCCAGGCUGUGUGGGGCGCAGCGCUGCCAGAACAUCCCGGGCUCGUACCGCUGCGUCCCCGAGUGCCCCCCCGGGUACCGGCUGGGGGACAGCGGGGAGUGUGAGGGUGAGUGGGGAUGGGGGGCGAGGGGGAGCCGGGGGGGGACCCGGCCGUGGGGUUGGGGUUCAAUGGGACCGCCCCAGUGGGGACCCCAAUGAAUGUUCUGUGGUUUUGGGGUUCAGUGGGGCCACACAGUGGGGUUGGGAUGGAGGUGGACAUCGGGGACCAUUCCAUGGGGUUGAGAUUCAAUGGGACCAUUGCAUGGGGUCGGGGUUCAAUGGGACCACUCCAUGGGGUUGGGAUUCAAUGGGACCACUCCAUGGGGUGGGAGUUCAAUGGGACCACCCCAAUGGGGUUGGGAUUCAAUGGGACCACUCCAUGGGUUGGGAUUCAGUGGGACCAUUCCAUGGGGUCGGGAUGGAGGUGGACCCCAAUGACCAUUCCAUGGGGUCAGGGUUCAAUGGGACCACUCCAUGGGUUGGGAUUCAGUGGGACCAUUCCAUGGGGUCGGGAUGGAGGUGGACCCCAAUGACCAUUCCAUGGGGUUGGGAUUCAAUGGGACCAUUCCAUGGGGUCGGGAUGGAGGUGGACCCCAAUGACCAUUCCAUGGGGUCGGGGUUCAAUGGGACCACCCCAAUGGGGUUGGGAUUCAAUGGGACCAUUCCAUGGGGUCGGGAUAGAGGUGGACCCCCGUGACCAUUCCAUGGGGUUGGGAUUCAGUGGGACCAUUCCAUGGGGUCAGGAUGGAGGUGGACCCCAACGACUGUUCCAUGGGGUUGGGAUUCA
This 1453-nucleotide long non-coding RNA is filed under the name Numida meleagris (helmeted guineafowl). Its description in RNAcentral is "lncRNA (ENSNMEG00000002772.1)". The record is from RNAcentral. Lineage: Eukaryota; Metazoa; Chordata; Aves; Galliformes; Numididae.